UCCUUGGUGGUCUAGUGGUUAGGAUGCAGCGCUCUCACCACUGUGACCCAGGUUCAAUCCCUGAUCUGGGAA
Molecule: non-coding RNA, 72 nt
Organism: Sus scrofa (pig)
Lineage: Eukaryota; Metazoa; Chordata; Mammalia; Artiodactyla; Suidae
Source: Rfam